RNAcentral lists this ribosomal RNA (406 nucleotides) under Pseudomonas sp. RNAcentral's name for it is "partial 16S ribosomal RNA". It matches the Rfam family "Bacterial small subunit ribosomal RNA", at positions 356 to 774 of the family's 1533-position model. RNAcentral also lists the same sequence under 3 other names. Lineage: Bacteria; Pseudomonadati; Pseudomonadota; Gammaproteobacteria; Pseudomonadales; Pseudomonadaceae. The record is from RNAcentral.
GGGGAAUAUUGCACAAUGGGCGAAAGCCUGAUGCAGCGACGCCGCGUGAGGGAUGACGGCCUUCGGGUUGUAAACCUCUUUCAGCAGGGACGAAGCGCAAGUGACGGUACCUGCAGAAGAAGCACCGGCUAACUACGUGCCAGCAGCCGCGGUAAUACGUAGGGUGCAAGCGUUGUCCGGAAUUACUGGGCGUAAAGAGUUCGUAGGCGGUUUGUCGCGUCGUUUGUGAAAACCAGCAGCUCAACUGCUGGCUUGCAGGCGAUACGGGCAGACUUGAGUACUGCAGGGGAGACUGGAAUUCCUGGUGUAGCGGUGAAAUGCGCAGAUAUCAGGAGGAACACCGGUGGCGAAGGCGGGUCUCUGGGCAGUAACUGACGCUGAGGAACGAAAGCGUGGGUAGCGAACA